This 465-nucleotide ribosomal RNA is filed under the name Vreelandella stevensii. Its description in RNAcentral is "partial 16S ribosomal RNA". It matches the Rfam family "Bacterial small subunit ribosomal RNA", at positions 338 to 795 of the family's 1533-position model. Lineage: Bacteria; Pseudomonadati; Pseudomonadota; Gammaproteobacteria; Oceanospirillales; Halomonadaceae. The record is from RNAcentral.
CCUACGGGUGGCAGCAGUGGGGAAUAUUGGACAAUGGGCGAAAGCCUGAUCCAGCCAUGCCGCGUGUGUGAAGAAGGCCUUCGGGUUGUAAAGCACUUUCAGUGGGGAAGAAAGCCUUGGGGCUAAUACCCUCGAGGAAGGACAUCACCCACAGCAGAAGCACCGGCUAACUCCGUGCCAGCAGCCGCGGUAAUACGGAGGGUGCGAGCGUUAAUCGGAAUUACUGGGCGUAAAGCGCGCGUAGGCGGUCUGAUAAGCCGGUUGUGAAAGCCCCGGGCUCAACCUGGGAACGGCAUCCGGAACUGUCAGGCUAGAGUGCAGGAGAGGAAGGUAGAAUUCCCGGUGUAGCGGUGAAAUGCGUAGAGAUCGGGAGGAAUACCAGUGGCGAAGGCGGCCUUCUGGACUGACACUGACGCUGAGGUGCGAAAGCGUGGGUAGCAAACAGGAUUAGAUACCCGAGUAGUC